GACGAACGCUGGCGGCGUGCUUAAUACAUGCAAGUCGAACGGAAAGGUCCUGCUUUUGUGGGGUUCUCGAGUGGCGAACGGGUGAGUAACACGUGAGUAACCUGCCCUUAACUUUGGGAUAACUUUAGGAAACUCGGGCUAAUACCGGAUAGGAGCUCCUGCUGCAUGGUGUUGGUUGGAGAGUUUCGGCGGUUGGGGAUGGACUCGCGGCUUAUCAGCUUGUUGGUGGGGUAGUGGCUUACCAAGGCUUUGACGGGUAGCCGGCCUGAGAGCGUGACCGGGGACAUUGGGACUGCGAUAGGGCGCAGACGCCUACGGGAGGCAGCAGUGGGGAGUAUUGCGCAAUGGGGGGAAGCCUGUGGCAGCGACGCCGCGUGCGGGAUGCCGGCCUUCGGGUUAUAAACCGCUUUCGCCGGUGACGAAGAGUGAGUGACGGUAAUGGGUAAAAAAGCACCGGCUAACUACGUG
RNAcentral lists this ribosomal RNA (468 nucleotides) under uncultured bacterium. Its description in RNAcentral is "partial 16S ribosomal RNA". It matches the Rfam family "Bacterial small subunit ribosomal RNA", at positions 28 to 507 of the family's 1533-position model. The record is from RNAcentral.